This is a long non-coding RNA of Neofelis nebulosa (Clouded leopard), 2982 nucleotides long. RefSeq lists it as uncharacterized. The record is from RefSeq and is a predicted model, not a curated record. The transcript is spliced from 5 exons. NCBI's taxonomy places the organism in Eukaryota, Metazoa, Chordata, Mammalia, Carnivora, Felidae.
GUGGGGCGGGCGGAGUUGCGGACAGGUGAGGAAGCCAGAGGAGAAGAGAGGGUUGAUUUGACCUCAAUAUAGAGAGCCUUAACGUGUGUGGGCCCACAAGAUCCUUGCUGAAAAAGAGAAGACAUCACUGUAAGGUCAGUGAAUUCAGGGGGAGCCAGGAUGAUAUUGUAAGUAGUUAAUAAUUGCCCUGACCAUGCUAUCUAGACUGAAGCUCUCCCAAGGCAACGCUUAGUGCAGAGCCCUGCAGAGAAGUUUCUUUUAAAAAAGCAAAAUUGUGGAAUAAGUGAAGUAUGUCAGUGACUUUUCACUUCCUUUUUUCAUUAUACUUUCGACCUGCUUCUGAAACCACCAUGACUUCAGAGACCAGGGCCCUCUGAUGGCCCCUGAAAGCGCAGGGUUCCCAGCCAGACUUGACUGUCCUGUGCUUUGGACUUAUCCUUGGGUAGGUGUGCCCUGGAGUGUUUUCAUUACCUUUUAUGUAACAAUUCCCACAAAUUUCAAUAGGUUGUGAUUCAUUUCAUGCUUAAUCAAAUAUUACUUGUAUAUCUUUGUGAGAACUGGUAUAUGAUUUAAUUUACAAAAUCAGUAAAAGAAAGUCCUUGCUUAAACCAUACAUCCUGAGUUUUGCUUCUAAAAAUACCAGUGCUGUAUCUACAAACCCAGCUCCAGUAUAUCCACACUGAGGUGCCGAUGAUAGAUAAAAGCUUAAUAAAUAACCCUUUCCAGAAGAAUGGGUACUGCAACACACAUUGCCUUAACCCACAGACAUUGCCUCUCUUCCCUUUCUUGUUAUCUUGCUAAUCAGUUGUGGGAGCCUUUUCUACCUUAAUAUCAUUUCAACACAGUGAUUCAGACUUCUGUUGGUCGACUGGUAUUGACCUGUGAUACAGAAUCUGCUUACCAUCCAAUUUAAAGGAAUGGAACUCCAGAGGUAGGAUUGAAGGCAGCAACAAGGAACCAGACUCAUAGCCCAGCCCAGCCCAGAUGACAGUCUGCAGGGAUACGAGUUCUACUUCCCACUGUUAACAAGGCGCUCAACCCUGGGCAAGUCACUUGACUCCUUCUCGUCUAUAACAUGAGGUAGUUGGGAUUCAUGGUCUCUUAGGUUUUCUUCCAGCUCCUGGAUCUCCAGCUAGGAAAAUACAGGGAUAAAGUCAUAAGGCUAACCCAUCUUCAGAAAGUCAGCAAAACAUCUAUAUAUAACACUGUAAAAUUAAUCUCUACUAAAUAAGAAUUUGUAUACACUUUGGCUCAGCAAUUUCACUCUUGGGGCUUUAUCCAAAGGAAGCAAUCAGAGAUGUGCUUCAAUAAGCAAGGAUGACUGUCACAGUGUUUAUUUUUAAUAAACUUUUAAUUUUAGCAUGGUUUUAGAUACACAGAGAAGUUGCAAAGAUAGUACGGAGAGUUCUUCUGUACUCCAUCCAUCCUUCCUCCUCAUUUCCUUCAUUGUUAACAACUGCUAUUCGUAUAUUACAUUCAUCACAACUAAUGAACCACUAUUGAUUUCAUUUUAUUAACUAAAAUCCAUACUGUAUUCAUAUUUCCUUAAUUUUAAGCUACUUUAAUUUUUUUUUAUGUUUAUUUAUUUUUGAGAGAGAAAGACAGAGUGUGAGCAGGGAAAGGGCAGAGAGAGAAGGAGACACAGAAUCUGAAGGAGGCUCCAGGCUCUGAGCUGUCAGCACAGAGCCCAAUGAGGGUUCAAACUCAUGGACUACGAGAUCAUGACCUGGGCCACAGUCAGACACUUACCCGACUAAGCCACCCAGGGGGCUCAGAAAUAUUCCUUUGCUUUGAAUGUCCUCCAUCUGGAAGAGGUUAGCUAAUUAAACCAAAGAUCACGGAUGAGUUGGCCCCAUUUAUCUCCAAUGGAUGAAAUCCUUUUCUCUCCAGAGAUUCUUCAGACAAAUAUCAAGGCAGUCCCUUGCUUCACCCAGUGGGCCUUCCGAUCUCUUCCUUAGCAAGGCAAUGUGGUGCUGAGCACCAGAAAAUUCCCGGGGAGAGCCUCUGCCAAAAUGCAAAACCAAGGAAAAAGGAUAAAAGCAACAGUUUUGGACCAGGCUGGCAGAAAUGGUAAACCCAAUCUGCCAUAUUUGCUUUUUCUUAAUCUAAAAUAACAGAGAUAACAUACACAAUGGACUUUCUAACUUGCCACUUUUCCCUUAUCUUUUUUCCCUUUGUGAGCCUAAGACAUCGUGUUCUUUCAUAUAACCUCUCUCUCUCAAAAAAAAAAAAAAAAAAACCAACAACAACAAAAACAAAAAAACCCUUGGCCAUUCCAUUCCCUGCCGCCCAUGGAGAAGAACAGACUCUAUCUGAUAUUUCAGCUGGAAGGCAGGGUGGCAGAUUCUUUCCAAUGGGGUGGCGACUUCCUCCCUACUCUCAGAACACACCCCUUCCCAAAAAUACGCCCUCCUGGGCAAGCAGCACAAAAGGAAUGUCAGCAAAUGCCCACAUCCCUUCCUUUUCCUUUUACACCCAGUGGCCUGGGAAUGGCGGGCACGCUUGGGGAAUGCACACCACCAAUCGGUGUGCGGCCCCAUGGGGCCUGUAAAGCGGCCUUGCUCUCAUCUCUUGCCCUCUUGGGCCGUCUUCCAAACCAACUGCCAGAUGGGAUUGUCCUAAAACGCAAAUCUGAUCAUUUCAUUUCAUCUACUUAAGAACUUGCUGUGGCCUUUUGGCCCACAAUGAGGGUUCCCAAACUCCUGCCUGAGGUCUAUGCCAGCUAUAUAAGAAUCAUUGUAUUCAGAUGUAGUUUCUAGAGUUUAGGUUAGAACCUGGGGAUCUGCCUAUGUUAGCCUGAAUUCUUUAGGUUGGUAAGUGACAGUAACUCGUCUCAAACUAGCUUAGGUCAAAAAAGGAAUCUAUUAUUUCCUCUGACAAGGAAGUUUAGGGGGUAAAAUGAUCUCAAUUAUAUCUGUGAGAUUUUAAUUUAUGGAGGUGACUAAAUGAUGAUGUGGAGACGUCAAUACCAUUGAAAGACUA